UACGUAGGUGGCAAGCGUUGUCCGGAUUUACUGGGCGUAAAGGGCGUGCAGGCGGUCUGUUAAGUGCAGGGUGAAAGCUCCCGGCUCAACUGGGAGAGGUCCUUGCAUACUGGCGGACUUGAGGGGGUAGAGGAAAGUGGAAUUCCCGGUGUAGUGGUGAUAUGCGUAGAUAUCGGGAGGAACACCUGUGGCGAAGGCGGCUUUCUGGGCCCUACCUGAACGCUGAGACGGCGGAAAAGCGUGGGGAGCGAACCGGGAUUAAGAU
Molecule: ribosomal RNA, 265 nt
Filed under: uncultured bacterium
Lineage: Bacteria
Description: partial 16S ribosomal RNA
Rfam family: Bacterial small subunit ribosomal RNA
Source: RNAcentral